RNAcentral lists this ribosomal RNA (440 nucleotides) under uncultured bacterium. Its description in RNAcentral is "bacterial SSU rRNA". It matches the Rfam family "Bacterial small subunit ribosomal RNA", at positions 338 to 769 of the family's 1533-position model. The record is from RNAcentral.
CCUACGGGUGGCAGCAGUGGGGAAUAUUGGACAAUGGGCGAAAGCCUGAUCCAGCAAUGCCGCGUGUGUGAAGAAGGCCUGCGGGUUGUAAAGCACUUUCAGUUGGGAAGAACCAGCGGCCGGUUAAUACCCGGUCGUCCUGACGUAACCAACAGAAGAAGCACCGGCUAACUCCGUGCCAGCAGCCGCGGUAAUACGGAGGGUGCAAGCGUUAAUCGGAAUUACUGGGCGUAAAGCGUACGUAGGCGGUUGAAUAAGUCGGAUGUGAAAGCCCCGGGCUUAACCUGGGAAUUGCAUUCGAUACUGUUCAGCUAGAGUGUGGAAGAGGGAAGUGGAAUUCCAGGUGUAGCGGUGAAAUGCGUAGAUAUCUGGAGGAACAUCAGUGGCGAAGGCGACUUCCUGGUCCAACACUGACGCUGAGGUACGAAAGCGUGGGGAGC